CGAACAGUGUAGACAUUGCCACUGACUGCAAAGGAGCAUGUCAGGGAAGUGACUUGCCAAAGGUCACAUCGCUCUGCCAUCGGAACUGCAGCAGGAGCCCACAAACAAAGCGCCCUCCCUCCUUUCCUGGAGAAGUUUUAAACCCAGGACCCCCAGCCCUACGAUGUCCCAAAGCCUCUUCGACGGCGGCCGGGCUCCAGGGUGCUGGCUCCCCGGUCAUCUACCUCCAGAGCGGCGGACACCGAGGGAGCGCGAGUCCCCCAGACGCCAGGCCACGCUCAUGUCACCCAAGCAGCGGCCGGCCGCCUUGGUGUGAGUCACCCCUAAUGGAGGUGGGAGAACAGGAGGCAUGGUGGGAGGCCCCAUCCCAACAAGUCACAUUCAUGUUCACAAGGGCUCCUGCCAAGGACCCAUCUUGGAACCUGGAGAUCAGUGUCCCACAUGGCCUUCCCUUUGCUGCUGUAGAUGCAACUUCACCUCCCUGCGUUCCCCUGGCAAGUGGGGUCUGCUGCUUGGGCAGUCACUCCAGGUCUGUCCACGCUGCAGAAGACAGUCACUGUGUGUCCCUCCUACAGAUGGACUGGAUGCUCACCAGCUCCUGCCAAUGGAGAGACAUGAGGCCCUCAUGCAAACUGGCAGCCCUAGAGGAGAACCCACCAUACCUGCUGGACAGAAACAGUACCCAGAACCCUCAGUCUGCCUCUGCCUGACAUGGCCCUGGCUGCCUGGCCAACUGGCUUGUAGAAGAGGGAUAUUGACCUGAGUCAAGGGGACAGAGUUGGAGGCAUUGCAUUGUCACCUAGCAGCAGUAUGUCUGGGCAACAUGUGUUACCUCUCUUCCCCUUCCCCUGCCGGCCAGAUAUCCCUCAGAUGCAUCCUGGAUCCGGUGCUGUUCUUCGAGUAUAUGGCCUGCUUCAAGAUAAUGUACACUGCACAUCAGCUAAAUAAUUGUAAAGCAGCUAGUGUCUCCCAAGACGGAGCCCCCGCAAUGUCAGUGAUUUUGACAGGCAGAGAUGACUGCCACAGAUCGGAGGAUCAUAUCCUCUCAAGACAGCCUCCAGGGAAGAAGCACAGGAGUGACUUUCCAUCUCUUGAAUGUCUUCUUCUCCCUGGGGAAGAAGCACCUAAAUCUCCAGUCCACUUCCUCUCAGGCCCCACCUACCAGAUCUGGGUCACAGGCCCACCCCCUGCUGCCAGGACUGCGCUCUGGGGAGAACAGCUCCCUGGGGAUCAGCAGGCUGCACUGUUGCCCCCUGGAGGAUGCAGAAGGAAAGAGACACAGUGCCCGGACUCGCCAGCUCCGUGAUCCAAAGCUGAGAAGCCCCAGGCAGGCUUCAGACUCCUUUACUCUCUGCCUGUCACACCCCCAGGCCCCUCCUGCCAGGGGGAGCUCAAGGAAGUGAGUCCCCCCAGGUGGCGGGGAAGCCUGUCCUUUGGGAUGGAAAAGCCCAAGGCCGCACCAGCUCCCUGGCCACCAUCGUGCAAAGGCAGCAAGGCGGACAGUUGAAGGACGUGCAUUCUCCAGGGGCUUUGAUUCUUUUGAUGCCUGCUGAUGAAGGACAAGUCACUGUCUAUGAAGGGUCUACAAUGUCCCCAAAUUCUGCCCCUAAUGUCUCUUUAGAAGUCAAGCCUAUCCCUGCUAGUGGCAUUUGGGAGCUGAAUUAUAUCUUCUUUCAAAAAGAAUUAAAAAAGACUUCUCUCCAGAGAAGUAUUCAGAUGCCCAUGAACUCUGCCAUCAAAUAUGAAUAUUCUCUUAAAAAUAAAAAUUAUGGCGCAC
Rhinopithecus roxellana (golden snub-nosed monkey) is the source of this 1777-nucleotide long non-coding RNA. The record is from Ensembl. NCBI's taxonomy places the organism in Eukaryota, Metazoa, Chordata, Mammalia, Primates, Cercopithecidae.